UCCACAGAGAAAAUUUGCUCCCCAUCAAAUUCGUGCGUGAACUGCCCAGAAGCAUCGUAAGACUGGUAGAAGGCUGGUCCGUAGGAGCCCAUGUGGUCGGCUGUACUGGGUAAAGAAGCAAAGAGCCUGGAUGAGAAGGUGGAGGACGGAGGCCAUGCGUCACCACCUGUCAUUUCAUCCUCCGAGAAAGGGGCUUCAGGAAGGAUCAGGGAGGCCUCAGAGCAUCCAGCUGAAAGAAGGAACCUGAUUUUCCCUGUAGGUCCCUCGGGACAGAUUUGGGGUAAAAAUAUGAAAUAAAACACACUAAGAGAC
Long non-coding RNA from Mesocricetus auratus (golden hamster), 312 nucleotides. RefSeq lists it as uncharacterized. NCBI's taxonomy places the organism in Eukaryota, Metazoa, Chordata, Mammalia, Rodentia, Cricetidae. The record is from RefSeq and is a predicted model, not a curated record. The transcript has 2 exons.